GGUAGCACAUAUACUAAAAAAAAAAAUUAGAACAACACAGAGAAGAUUAACAUGGCCCUUGUGCCAGAAUGACACUCAAAUUUGUAAAAUGUUCCAUAUUUUA
This is a small nuclear RNA of Heterocephalus glaber (naked mole-rat), 103 nucleotides long. NCBI's taxonomy places the organism in Eukaryota, Metazoa, Chordata, Mammalia, Rodentia, Bathyergidae. The record is from Ensembl.